CCUACGGGUGGCAGCAGUGGGGAAUAUUGGGCAAUGGGCGCAAGCCUGACCCAGCAACGCCGCGUGAAGGAAGAAGGCUUUCGGGUUGUAAACUUCUUUUCUCAGGGACGAAGCAAGUGACGGUACCUGAGGAAUAAGCCACGGCUACCUACGUGCAAGCAGCCGCGGUAAUACGUAGGUGGCAAGCGUUAUCCGGAUUUACUGGGUGUAAAGGGCGUGUAGGGGGGAAAGCAAGUCAGAGGUGAAAACCAUGGGCUCAACCCGUGGCCUGCAUUUGACACUGUUUUUCUUGAGUACUGGAGAGGCAGACGGAAUUCCUAGUGUAGCGGUGAAAUGCGUAGAGAUUAGGAGGAACACCAGUGGCGAAGGCGGUCUGCUAGACAGCAACUGACGCUGAGGCGCGAAAGCGUGGGGAGCAAACAGGAUUAGAUACCCGGGUAGUC
This 443-nucleotide ribosomal RNA is filed under the name uncultured bacterium. RNAcentral describes it as "partial 16S ribosomal RNA". It matches the Rfam family "Bacterial small subunit ribosomal RNA", at positions 338 to 795 of the family's 1533-position model. The record is from RNAcentral.